Molecule: long non-coding RNA, 7698 nt
Filed under: Solanum tuberosum (potato)
Lineage: Eukaryota; Viridiplantae; Streptophyta; Magnoliopsida; Solanales; Solanaceae
Description: long non-coding RNA (STUB_LNC011674)
Source: RNAcentral
AAUAAUUGAAUUGAUAUAAGAAUUUAUCAUUAAUAAAAAGAACUAAACAAAGAUAUAUAUCCAAGUUGUAUGUCAUCAACUUUAAUCUUCUAAUUCAAAAAAGAAAACUUGCAACAUAUAUACAUAAGAUAGUCUUUAAACUACCCCUAAUAAAAUCCUCACAAACUUCAACUUGCUCCUUACUUUCUUGAAUGAUAAAAAUUUCAUAUUCAAAUUCUUGAGCUGCAAACGAAGAAGUGUGUAUCAGUUUGAUAACAAAAAAUAAAGAAUUUAAGUAGAAACACAUAUAGGAUCUCAAAAUAUUUAGCAGAAAGGAUGCAACAAAAAAUUAAAACUUCCAAAAAAGCAGGAUAACAAUAACUAAUGUAUGUUUUAGGGAGAAAUCAGCCACUACGGACUAUAGCUAUAAUUUUUAACACUAAUACGGCAAUCGACCUUCUUCAAUACAAAUGUCUGCUAAAAUUAUUAGUUUUUCACCCAAAAAAAUAAUAAUAUGCUGCACAUAAUUACUAAUAGCAAGGAAAUAGUUUCAUAGUAUAAAACAUGUGUACCAAAUUACGGAUGGGCAUCACAAAGAGAUUAAUAUAAAUGCAAAACUUCAUUACUUGUCAAAGAAAGAUUGAUAUAAAUGCACAUUUUCUUCCAUGUAUAUCUCUAAUUUAAAUUGGAUGAUUUUAAUGAACUAUAACAUAAUGUCAAUUUCAUUGAACAACAAAAUGGAAUGAACUAAGCUUUCAAGAUAGAACAAACAACAUUUUAACACAAAUAUGGCCAAAAAAGAUUUGGCAGAUAAACAAUGAAGAGAAGAUGGAAAAUAUUUUGUCUCAUCACACAAGGACUACUAAAACAUCUCUCAAAACACAUCAAAAUUUAAGAGUUCUUUCUCUGUUUUGAAUUUAGUAGGUGAUUACUUUAUUCAAUGCUUCUUCCUCACGAAACUUAGUGAAUGAAAAAAAAUGAAAACUAUUGCCAAGUUUACUAUUAAAUAAAUGAGGAACACAUAAGUGUCUACCAUUCUACUCUAAUAUGUUUUACGUAUACAAUCAGUAUUAGUUGCUUUUCCUCAAAAAGAAAUGAUUGAUGCUCCAAAAUUUAGGAAAUAUAUAUCCUCUUCAUGCCAUCAAAGUUUAUUGGUUCCCUUGUUCUAUCUUUAAAUCAAUUUUCCAGAACAUGAUGCCUAUUCUUACUUCUUUAUUUCUUUAAAUUGGCUAAUGUAUCUAGGAACUGAAUAAUUUGUGGAUUUUUAUUGGUUACUGAGAAUUUUUCUGCCACUAGGAGUAGUUUUGAUCAUGAAUCUAGUGCUACAGAUAAGUGUUCUCUUGCACCGUAUAUUUAUAUUUGUACGAAGAGACAGAUGAGUGUGGAAGGUUUUGCACAUCACUACAACUUUUAUGCUAUACUUCCUGCAUUAAAUUAUCUUUAAGCUCAUUUCAGUUCACUUUCCUCUUGUUUUCUUUCAUGUUUAUAAUUGGAAAAACUAAGUCUUACUAGAGUCAAUAUAUUCCCUAUUGUUUCCAUUAAAUAAACCUAACAAAAUUAGGUAAUGUUGAGGUUGGUAUCAGAUACAAAGUAGUUCUUGACUUCUUGUUUCCUGUUAUGUACUUGUGUGAAAUCAUAAGACAGUUAGCAGACAACAUGCAAGCAAAAUCAAAGUUCAAGAUAACAUCAUGUUGAAAAAGUAAGAAGCAAAACUAAGGUUUAACUUGACAGUAUCCCCACAUAUAUUAUGUCAAUGCUCCCAAUACCAUCCAAGGUACAUAAUCAAAUUGACAAAAUCAGAAGAUCUUUUUUGUGGAAGGGGCGCUAUGAGGGCCAUAAGUUCCAUCUUGUGAAGUGGGAAAAUGUAAUUAUGCAAAAGCAGCACAGAGGUCUAGGAAUCAGAGAUUUAAAGAAGCACAACAAGAGCCUGUUAAUGAAAUAGUGGUGAAGAUAUGCUCAAGAACCAACAUGUAUCUGGAAAGAGGUAGUGAAUGCCAAAUAUGGGAGGCAAGACAAAUGGAGUACCAAGCAGAACAAUGAUCCUUAUGGAGUUGGACCUUGGAAGUACAUUAACCACCUAAGGGAGGAGUUCUUCCAAGAGGUGUCCUUCGGGAUUGGAAAUGGGAACUCGGUUAAAUUUUGGAAAGACAGGUGGCUUAACAAUCAACCUCUCAAUGUCUCCCACCCAGCUAUUUACAGGAUAGCCUCUGACAUAGACUCUUCAGUGGCUCAAAACAGAGAAGGUGGAAUAUGGGCACCACGCUUUAGAAGGAAUUUUCAAGACUGGGAGCUUAAUGAGCUCUUUGAUUCUUUCAAAAUUCUAGAAGGAGCCUCAAUGACCCCUCACUUGCCUGAUAGCUUAAAAUGGGGCAACUCUGAAUAAAGGAAUAUACACAGUGAAGGAAGGAUACCAUAAGUUGUGCUCUUCCAAUGCCAUGAUAGACCAGUGGCCAUGGAAACUGAUUUGGAAGACUAGACUACCCCCUAAAAUCAAGUGUUUCACCUGGACUACCCUCAAGAAUGCUAUCCUAACCCUGGACAAUCUAAAUAGGAGGAAACUUCAGCUAGUAGACAGACAAAUGUUUCUUGUGCCUCAAUAUCCUGGAAUCAGUGAAUCAUUUGUUUCUGCACUUUCCAGUGGCAGCAGCUCUUUGGAAUUUGUUUAUUUCAAUUGCUGGUAUCAACUGGAUUCUCCCGCAAAGUGCCAAAGAAGUAGUUGGAAGUUGAAGUCUUAGAGAAGUUGAUAGCCCCAUCAAGAAGACCUGGCAGAUGAUUCCAUCAUGUAUUUUUUGGGGUAUUUGGAAGGAAAGGAAUCUCAGAUGUUUUGAUGGUAGCUCAACUCUAAUUAGCAGUUUGAAAUCCUUUUGCCUUAUUAAUCUCUUCCAUUGGAGCAACUUAUCCCCUGUAAAUGAUAUAUUACCCCUCUUAGAUUUCAUUAGCUCCCUCAAUAUGGCAUAGCGACCAUAUUUUGCUUAUGGUUAACUCCCUGAUUAAAUAGGUGUUUUUUUUCUCAGGAGUUAACCAUAUUUUUGUGUAUGUAAUUUGCAUCUUCUUGAUGCCUUUCUAAUACAACAUCUUACUUCAUAAAAAAAAACUGAGGUUUAACUUGCUAAACAGAACCUUUAGGGUCGAAAUAACUCCUUUAGACCUAAGUUCAACUCUAAUAGACAUCUUUUAACUUCAUAUGAUCCAUCUAUCUUUCCCUUUACUCGUUAGGAGUUUGAAGGUAGUGGAUUUGUUAGGGAUUAUCAAGGGUUGAUGAAGGAAAAAAUAUUACGUUGUAAGAAUUUUAUAAUCUUUUAUUAGUUAUUUGUUUCAUAUCAGGCUCUCCUUUUAUGAAGGUUGAAGUAAGCCAGUAUUUAGCCACUGGUUUAAAGAAUCAUGCUACAGUAGUCAUUUAUUCCUUCAUUCAGAAACUAGUGGCCCUUAAGUAAAGAAGUUAAACAAUUCAAAGACUCUUGCUGAACUAGGAUAUGAGCCUAAAUAUCCAAGCUUCCCUCAGUUCCUGGGUGUUGCAGAUUAAAUUGUGGCAGAAACUCUAUUCUUUAAAUGAUUGAAUGAAUGCAUGUGAGCUAUUUUGGCAGAAGUAGCAAUAAAAAAUAGCAUGGAGGGAAAACACAAUACUGAAGAAGAAAGAGAGACACGGAACAAUUACUCUCUGCUUAAGAAGAAUCAAACACUGUCCUCUGCUUCAGUUGUCUUAGUGGGAGCUAAGGUCUCCCACAUUGAAAGUUAGGCUUAUGAGUCGGAACAAUAAAAAAUACUAAACCUUUUCGAACUAAUGAAAAGAAUUUCAUAUAGCAUUGCACAAUAAUUUCAUCAUAGACCAAAGAAAAUUCUCUACUAACCUGUUAACUAGUUCAAUAUAUUGAUCAGUGAAAGAUGGUGUUGAUGAAGGCUGAAAAAACACUACACUUGCAAGCUGUUCAUAUUUGUUCUCGAGCUCAUUUACGCGUUGACAUUUACUCUCUAUUAUUCUCUAACUCAUCCAUGCAAUUCACUUACAUUCAACUUAUCUAGAAAUGCAGCCUUUGAAGAGUUACCACCAUUUCAAUUUUCAACUCCUUCGAUGUCAUCCCACCACAAAUCCAACCACAUUAUUUUUACGUUGAGGUCCAAAGCACAUCUCAACGACCUCAAUAUUUGUAAGAGAUGAAUUAAGAUUGUAUCACUUUUUGGAUCUCAACCUAUAAAACACAGGACAAAUUAAAAUAAUAAAGCACAUAAUGUUAAAUGGUGUAACAUGAAAUUUAUGAGUAAACAUUCAUAUUUUGCAUUUGUUUCAGGUUCGACAAGCUUGUUAUCCUUCUUACGUGUCUCAAAGAAGAUAGUAUCCAUGUUUGGUGGCUUACCAUCUUUUCCUUCCUUCAUAUAUAAAUAAACAAGUAAAAGAAAUCAAAUUAUCAAGGAGGAGGCUUUCUAAAAAGUUUCUAGAUUUACUUAUUAAUUCAUAAAUAAUCUCUCUAAUAGGCUUACUACUAGUGCGAUGAGGCAUACACAACUUAAGACUUAUUGACUGAGUUUCUUGUACUUAUUUCCUAUAUUAACAAAACACUACUGAAAUUUUAGUCAUCCAAUUAAGAUAUCAUGCUGAUAGAUCAUAGCUAUGAAUUAAUACCUUAGACUACUCACUUAAGAAAUGCUCUCUAACAAGUCAUUCCCAAUCACCCUUGUCUACCUCUUUUGGCACAUCUUUUACAGCAUAACAGAAUAUCUUAGACUUCACAUUCUUGUGCAGUGAUCCUCUCCCAUUAUUUAACAACCUUCGCACAUGUUGCAAGACAUGUUUUUUGUGAUCAUUCAUGUUGUCACUGACAAAUUUAUCCUACAAUAUUACACAAGUAUCAUUUUCAUAUUGUCAAGAAAGAUGCAAUACUAGGUUCAAGAGGGUUUUAUAAGCAUUAACAAUGUAAAAGCAUGACCCAUAUUUUAAGGAUGAAAUAACAUAUACAAGGAGGAAAUAACAUAAACAUAUUUCUUAUGAGCAUAGAAGGUGGUGUUAAGUCCUAGUACCAGCAUCGGUGCACCAUAAGGGCCGAUACCAGCAAGUAUCAGUAAGUUGCCUAUUUAAGUUCUAUUAGAGCAAAUCCAGUAAACAAGGCCCUGCUCCAAAGUUUCAUGGGUUUUAGCUACAAUGAUCCCUAAGUACCUCGUAUUCACUUGAUCUUAGUUGUUUCUUAGUUUAUUCAGUAUGUUAGAUAACUGUUUGACUUUGUAGUUGGUGCUUGUAAAGAUACUAGUUUGGUGAUUUGAAUAUAAAAAAUGCUAGUUAUCAGAAUAAAGUAACAUCAAUACUAACUAAGAGAGACUGGUAUAUAUACUAAUUAGGCCUAUUAUUUAUCUACCAAUGGAUCAUAUAAUGUGAGUUGCAGCCACAAUCAAUUGAUGCGUAGGCAGCUGCGACUAAAUGUAGCAGACUUGGUAUGAUACUUACUCAUGUUACCUAGACACAAAUUUAUUGUCUGGCUAGCAGCUGGCUAAUCAAGAGAAAUUUCUAACAAAAGAAAGGAAGAUUAGACUACAAAUACAAUUAGAAGAUGACAAGUGUGUCUAUAUAGAGAUAAUAAGAUGGAAACUCGAUUGGAUCUACUAUCAAAAUGUACUCACUACUCAGCUUACUGGAGAGUGUAGGAGUUGUCCAGAUCAACGAUUGAUCUCCUGGCAGACUCAUUUGGGGGUACAAAGUAGUUGGUAAUAUUCUUUGAAGGCAACAUACGAUUCACUAUGUACUGAAAAUCAAAUGAUAGUUAUAAAAAAACAACACUGAAGACAGAACUAGCGAAUUGGAGUACAAAAGAUGAAGGUAACACAAAGGUUAAUAUGGAUAAAGGGAAGGCGCUCGAAAAAUAUGAAAAGGAAUUAGUUACAGCUAUAUGGGGAGAUAGAAUCUACCACACUUGGAGAGAAACAAACUGAACAAUAUACAGAGAGACAACUAAAAAUACAGAGAUUACAUUUGUACAAAUAAUAAAGAGAUAGCUGAAAGAGUGGAUUACUUGAAACACAGUAGGAAAGUUAAUAGAUGUAGAUACCUGGUCCAAGAAUUUUGUAACUAGGUGAUACAAUUUUACUCUAUGUGCAGAACACAAUAGUCCAUAUCAGCAUCUUCCAGCUUAAAAAAUUAAAGAAAGUAAUGUUGUAAAUCCUUGCCGUGACGACAUUCCACAUGUAUUCUAGCUUAUUGAUUUUUUACUAUGUUCCCGCAAUGGACACAUAUGUUUUCCUACUAAUGAGAAUUGUAGGAUUCAGUUAGUUAUAGGAAAUUUUUGGUCCUUUCUCAGCUAAAAUACAGUGGAACUUCAAUACAAAUAAAUCUUUGCUUAGAGACACUCAAAUAGCUCGCCCUUGUUCAAGGAAGAAUGGCCCUGAUCAGUUUCACACUUGGAGAAGAAUGCUACCGAUCAAGGAAAGUUGUGCUAAGUAUAUUCUAUGGAAAGUUGGGCCUGAGAAGAUUUUAACUUUUUUAGAUAACUGGACUAGUAAAGUGCAGUUGGCUAGCACCAUCAAUAGUCUCCCCUAGAGGAAGAACCCAAGAGUGACUAAUUUUAUUCAUAAUGGCUACUGGAAAGUGAACGGUUUAAAGUAGUUUUCCCUUAUUAAGUAGUUCAGAUAAUCAUGAGCAUCAAAAUUUAUGAUGAACAAGAAGAUCUAUGAAUUUGGUCCAUCCACUAUAGUGGAAAAUUCACUUGUCACAAUACUUCGGAGUCUAUGAGAUAGAGAAACAACCAAUGCAUUACUUCAAAGAUGAUCUGGCAUCGUAAAAUGAAAAAUAACUUUCAAGAUAUCAUUUUCGAUUAUGAGACUAUUGAGAAUUAGAUUGCCAGUUGACAGUUCCCUCUAAAAAUUCAAAGUUCUUGGCCACUCUAGGUGUUGUUGGUGCAAACAGUAUUUUGAUAAAAGUAUGGAACACAAGUUUUAUAACAGUGACUUGGUUAAAGACUUACGAACCUUUUGCAACUAUAUCAGAAACAUAAUUAAGGAUAUCACUAAACUACACUAGUGCACAAAGCAGAAUAACAUUCAGUUAAAAUAAAAGGAAAAACAAACAUAAAUGGAUCAUAAAAAAUUAGGGAAAACAGUGAAUUUGAAAGAAGUAGACAUUCCACAAAGCAAUUGAGAAUGAAAAUAACACAAACUUACCUUGAAGAGAAGAAACCACAAGUGUUGAGCAGACCAAUAAGCCGAUAAGCAGUAACAAGAGAAGAUUGGUUCUCUUUUAAGAAAAUUAGAAUGUUUUCUGCAAUUAAAAUAGAGACACCUGGUUGCCUCCUUAAAUAGAAGGAACUGAGAGACCUUCGACCUAAUUUUUCUUAAUAAACAUGGAAAUUGAUGUACCUUGUUCAUUUUGAUCUUAUAUGUUUGUUGAUUGUCCUCUGGCUGAUUUCCCUCCAACAAACUGACACUCCUAAUUUGAAACUAAGGGCUACAGCUAGAUAAAUUUAGGGUUAACACAGAUUUGGGCAAAACGAAAAAAUACCCAAAUCUCCAACAGAAUUUGAGAGAAGCAUGUAUUGCAGAUUUUUCUCAAAUUUCUUGACCUGUACUGGAGAAAAGUUGUGCUUCAGUUAUGUUCUUGAGCUGCUCCCUGGAUUCUCUAAUAGAACGAUAGAAGAUCAAAAACUUCAUUAGUGAAACUAUUUUCUUAGGGAGGGGAGGAGUGGGGUAUGUGGACUAUGUUGUUACGGAGAGGAGGGGUGGUGUAUGUCGUGUGCGGUUAAG